RNAcentral lists this transfer RNA (87 nucleotides) under Thorius troglodytes (Taylor's pigmy salamander). RNAcentral describes it as "tRNA-Leu". The stretch from base 13 to 87 matches the Rfam family "tRNA". From Rfam's summary of the family: Transfer RNA (tRNA) molecules are approximately 80 nucleotides in length. Their secondary structure includes four short double-helical elements and three loops (D, anti-codon, and T loops). Further hydrogen bonds mediate the characteristic L-shaped molecular structure. tRNAs have two regions of fundamental functional importance: the anti-codon, which is responsible for specific mRNA codon recognition, and the 3' end, to which the tRNAs corresponding amino acid is attached (by aminoacyl-tRNA synthetases). tRNAs cope with the degeneracy of the genetic code in two manners: having more than one tRNA (with a specific anti-codon) for a particular amino acid; and 'wobble' base-pairing, i.e. permitting non-standard base-pairing at the 3rd anti-codon position. The record is from RNAcentral. Lineage: Eukaryota; Metazoa; Chordata; Amphibia; Caudata; Plethodontidae.
CUAAUACGACUUAUUAAGGUGGCAGAGCCCGGUAAUUGCAUAAAGCCUAAAACUUUUACCCCGAGGAUUCAAAUCCCUCCCUUAAUU